AGCAACCUACCCUAAAGACGAGGAUAACCAUUGGAAACAGUGGCUAAGACUGGAUAGGAAGAUAAAAGGCAUCUUGUAUCUUUUAAAAGACCUAGUUAAUAGGUAUGCUUUAGGAGGGGCUUGCGCCAUAUUAGUUAGUUGGUAGGGUAAUGGCCUACCAAGACGAUGAUGUGUAGCUGGACUGAGAGGUUGAACAGCCACAUUGGGACUGAGACACGGCCCAAACUCCUACGGGAGGCAGCAGUAGGGAAUUUUCGGCAAUGGAGGAAACUCUGACCGAGCAACGCCGCGUGAAUGACGAAGUACUUCGGUAUGUAAAGUUCUUUUAUCGAGGAAGAAAAGCAAAUGGCGAACCAUUUGUUUGCCGGUACUUGAUGAAUAAGCCCCGGCUAAUUAUGUGCCAGCAGCCGCGGUAAGACAUAAGGGGCAAGUGUUAUCCGGAAUUAUUGGGCGUAAAGGGUGCGUAGGCGGUCUAGUAAGUCAGUGGUGUAAUGGCAACGCUUAACGUUGUCCGGCUAUUGAAACUGCUAAACUUGAGUUAGAUAGAGGCGAGUGGAAUUCCAUGUGUAGCGGUAAAAUGCGUAAAUAUAUGGAGGAACACCAGAGGCGUAGGCGGCUCGCUGGGUCUUAACUGACGCUGAGGCACGAAAGCGUGGGGAGCAAACAGGAUUAGAUACCCUGGUAGUCCACGCCGUAAACGAUGAGUACUAAGUGUCGGGUUAAACCGGUACUGAAGUUAACACAUUAAGUACUCCGCCUGAGUAGUACGUACGCAAGUAUGAAACUUAAAGGAAUUGACGGGACUCCGCACAAGCGGUGGAUCAUGUUGUUUAAUUCGAAGAUACCCGAAAAACCUUACCAGGUCUUGACAUGUUUUUGCAAAAUGAUAGUAAUAUCGUGGAGGUUACCAGAAACACAGGUGGUGCAUGGUUGUCGUCAGCUCGUGUCGUGAGAUGUUAGGUUAAGUCCUAAAACGAGCGAAACCCUUAUCGUUAGUUGCCAGCACGUUAUGGUGGGGACUUUAACGAGACUGCCAAUGAUAAAUUGGAGGAAGGUGAGGAUCACGUCAAAUCAGCAUGCCCCUUAUGACCUGGGCUACAAACGUGAUACAAUGGCUGUUACAAAGGGUAGCUGAAACGCAAGUUCUUGGCCAAUCCCCAAAAACAGUCCCAGUCCGGAUUGAAGUCUGCAACUCGACUUCAUGAAGUUGGAAUCGCUAGUAAUCGCGAAUCAGCAUGUCGCGGUGAAUACGUUCUCGGGGUUUGUACACACCGCCCGUCAAACCACGAAAGUUGGCAAUACCCCAAAACGGUAGC
Molecule: ribosomal RNA, 1316 nt
Filed under: 'Citrus maxima' II phytoplasma
Lineage: Bacteria; Bacillati; Mycoplasmatota; Mollicutes; Acholeplasmatales; Acholeplasmataceae
Description: bacterial SSU rRNA
Rfam family: Bacterial small subunit ribosomal RNA
Source: RNAcentral